RNAcentral lists this ribosomal RNA (496 nucleotides) under uncultured bacterium. RNAcentral describes it as "partial 16S ribosomal RNA". It matches the Rfam family "Bacterial small subunit ribosomal RNA", at positions 28 to 506 of the family's 1533-position model. The record is from RNAcentral.
GAUGAACGCUGGCGGCGUGCCUAAUACAUGCAAGUCGAGCGAACAGACGAGGAGCUUGCUCCUCUGACGUUAGCGGCGGACGGGUGAGUAACACGUGGAUAACCUACCUAUAAGACUGGGAUAACUUCGGGAAACCGGAGCUAAUACCGGAUAAUAUAUUGAACCGCGUGGUUCAAUAGUGAAAGACGGUUUUGCUGUCACUUAUAGAUGGAUCCGCGCCGCAUUAGCUAGUUGGUAAGGUAACGGCUUACCAAGGCAACGAUGCGUAGCCGACCUGAGAGGGUGAUCGGCCACACUGGAACUGAGACACGGUCCAGACUCCUACGGGAGGCAGCAGUAGGGAAUCUUCCGCAAUGGGCGAAAGCUUGACGGAGCAACGCCGCGUGAGUGAUGAAGGUCUUCGGAUCGUAAAACGCUGUUAUUAGGGAAGAACAAAUGUGUAAGUAACUAUGCACGUCUUGACGGUACCUAAUCAGAAAGCCACGGCUAACUACGU